Molecule: ribosomal RNA, 351 nt
Filed under: Triticum aestivum (bread wheat)
Lineage: Eukaryota; Viridiplantae; Streptophyta; Magnoliopsida; Poales; Poaceae
Description: partial small subunit ribosomal RNA
Source: RNAcentral
AUGGAGCCGCGUAUCUUCAAAUCUUUGGCUAAUUAUCUUCGAAGGGAGAAGUUGGUGAAAGAUACCAGAAUUAAAGUCGAAGAGAAACUAGCAUCAUUUCUGUGGAUGUUAUCCCAUAAUUCUUCAUUUGAAGACCUUCAAGUUCGGUUUGGUCACAGCGGGGAUACUUUCCAUUCGCAAAUGAAGAAUUUCUUUGACAUCAUCCCUAUUCUCUCCAAGCAUUUUUUGAAGCCUCCAAAUCCCAGUCAAGUGCAUCCGAAGAUUCAGUCGGACACGAGAUUCUUUCCUUAUUUUCAGGUUUUUGCUUCGCCAACUUUGAUCCACAUCGAUAACUUACUCUUCAUGUUAUAG